CCUACGGGAGGCAGCAGUAGGGAAUCUUCCGCAAUGGACGAAAGUCUGACGGAGCAACGCCGCGUGAACGAUGAAGGCCUUCGGGUCGUAAAGUUCUGUUGUUAGGGAAGAACAAGUGCUAGUUAAAUAAGCUGGCACCUUGACGGUACCUAACCAGAAAGCCACGGCUAACUACGUGCCAGCAGCCGCGGUAAUACGUAGGUGGCAAGCGUUGUCCGGAAUUAUUGGGCGUAAAGCGCGCGCAGGCGGUUUCUUAAGUCUGAUGUGAAAGCCCCCGGCUCAACCGGGGAGGGUCAUUGGAAACUGGGAAACUUGAGUGCAGAAGAGGAAAGUGGAAUUCCAAGUGUAGCGGUGAAAUGCGUAGAGAUUUGGAGGAACACCAGUGGCGAAGGCGACUUUCUGGUCUGUAACUGACGCUGAGGCGCGAAAGCGUGGGGAGCAAACAGGAUUAGAUACCCUGGUAGUCCACGCUGUAAACGAUGAGUGCUAAGUGUUAGAGGGUUUCCGCCCUUUAGUGCUGAAGCUAACGCAUUAAGCNCNCCGCCGUCGGGAGGUACGGUCGGCGAGACUACGAACGUACGAAGGAAAGUUAGUACGGCGUGAGACGUCGCCGACGGACGACGACCGAGGGAGGUAGG
RNAcentral lists this ribosomal RNA (638 nucleotides) under uncultured bacterium. RNAcentral describes it as "bacterial SSU rRNA". The stretch from base 1 to 545 matches the Rfam family "Bacterial small subunit ribosomal RNA", at positions 338 to 873 of the family's 1533-position model. The record is from RNAcentral.